UCUCUCUCUCUCUCUCGCUGAGCUCUUUGAUUUUUUUCUACCGUUGCCUAGUCUCCUCCCUGACUUGACCGUCGGAGGGUCCCCGUCGGAGUCACCUUCGGUCAGUGCGGACUCCUUUUGCAGGCGCUCGUUCCCGGUGAUCAGGCGACGAGGGGAUUGGCCGCAACAGGUUUUGGCGCGCCAGGUAGGGGGAGCGACAGGGAUUACGACCCCCACAGAACUUGAAACAUCCUUUCGAGAUACAAGAACCAGAGCUCAGCGAUCGAGGGCCACC
This 274-nucleotide long non-coding RNA is filed under the name Elaeis guineensis (African oil palm). RNAcentral describes it as "long non-coding RNA (EGUI_LNC033226)". Lineage: Eukaryota; Viridiplantae; Streptophyta; Magnoliopsida; Arecales; Arecaceae. The record is from RNAcentral.